Molecule: ribosomal RNA, 383 nt
Filed under: uncultured bacterium
Lineage: Bacteria
Description: bacterial SSU rRNA
Rfam family: Bacterial small subunit ribosomal RNA
Source: RNAcentral
AUUGAACGCUGGCGGCAUGCCUAACACAUGCAAGUCGAACGGCAGCGCGGGUAGCAAUACCUGGCGGCGAGUGGCGGACGGGUGAGGAAUACAUCGGAAUCUACCCAGUCGUGGGGGAUAACGCAUCGAAAGGUGCGCUAAUACCGCAUACGACCGAGAGGUAGAAAGCGGAGGACCGAAAGGCUUCGCGCGAAUGGAUGAGCCGAUGUCGGAUUAGCAGUUGGCGGGGUAAGAGCCCACCAAGGCGACGAUCCGUGGCUGGUCUGAGAGGAUGAUCAGCCACACUGGGACUGAGACACGGCCCAGACUCCUACGGGAGGCAGCAGUGGGGAAUAUUGGACAAUGGGACGAAAGCCUGAUCCAGCGAUGCCGCGUGUGUGAAG